GCGGAUUAAUUUCAGCAUGUAACAUCAAAGGGAUUGGAGCUAAACCUAUUAAUUCCAAAAGUGAGGUUAUUCUACAAAGGGAAUUAUCACAAAAAGUUAUCGAAAUAUUAACAGACAAAGUUGAAAAGCUUUAAGAUGGAAAUAGUAAAAGCUUACCUUUAUUAAUAGACAAUUAUCUUUCUGAUAUGAUUGGGUUACCAAUUUAUAUUCCAUGAUUAGCUUCUGCAGUAAAUUGGGGGCUUAAAAAUCGACGAAAUUAACGUUAAAUGCGAAAAUGUAUGGCAACAUUGCUUGUGACGUCACAUUAAAAUUUUAAAGUGAUUUUUCGGGCCAUUUCGAAUCGAUUUAAAAAAAAGCGUCGAUUUUUAAGCGACAUGAUGAUUCUUAUUUAUUUGGCAAGUUGUGAUUCUUGGGUGAAAUAAGAAAAAAGUUAAAUUAAAAAUUUUUUAUUAACAUAACCUCAAAUUUUUCAUCAUAACAAUAAAUAGGUAAGAAUAAUUAACUCUUCGUUCGAUUUUCCUUUAGUUUUAGGUACAAACCUACAAAUAAAUAGCGCGCCCAAGAAGGUAAAUCCCGCAUAAAUAAAAAACGCACCUUCUGUGACAAAUCCUUCUUUGAUUGACAAAAAACUUUUUGUUGUAGCAAACGCUAAUAACCAACCCCAAUAAUUAUUAAAUGAAGUAACUAAGGUUUAGUUUAUUGAGGAUUAAUUUAGGCAUUUAAUAUCAAAGGAAUUUGAGUUAAACCUUUUAAUUCCAAAAGUGAGGUUAAGGCAUAAUUUUUUUGACAGUUUGUUGUUGACAACUUUGACAACUCACGGUCAUUAUGACCAAUUUAAAACUGAUCUAAUCAAUUAACAUAAUCUCAAAUUUUUCAUCAAAUCAAUAAAUACAUACAUAGGUACAAAUAAUUAACGAUUAAUGAAACUCGCUUGAAUCUCUUCGUUCGAUUUUCCUUUUCAGACGCACGGCUAAACCCGAACAUUUCUAGUUCUAGUGUUAGUUCUAGUUUUAUACUAGCACUAU
Onthophagus taurus is the source of this 1025-nucleotide non-coding RNA. NCBI's taxonomy places the organism in Eukaryota, Metazoa, Arthropoda, Insecta, Coleoptera, Scarabaeidae. The record is from RefSeq and is a predicted model, not a curated record.